This 1002-nucleotide long non-coding RNA is filed under the name Equus caballus (horse). RNAcentral describes it as "lncRNA (ENSECAG00000047558.1)". The record is from RNAcentral. Lineage: Eukaryota; Metazoa; Chordata; Mammalia; Perissodactyla; Equidae.
GGGAUGUUCAGAAGGCCAGAUCAGGUAACCCAGGGAGGCUGGGCUUCCACACCUUGCCCAGGACAUGUUCUGUGCAGCUGUUAAGAGGCAACGUGGUCUGAUGGAAUGAGCACUGGUCUAGGAGUCAGGAAGCUUGGACUCUGGAGCUCCUUUGCCUCUGGGGCAGCAAGAGUUGCAAGAAAGUGAAGCAAACCAAGGCAAAAUUGAGAAGCAACAGAAGUAAAAAUGCAAGUGUGUUUGCCUUAGCGCUUGGCUUUGGCGUGCCCCGGCUGUCUGCAGUAGGUGAGGCUGGCUCCCAGGGGACAGGGGUCUGAGCCUCACCAGGCCGCCUAAAACUGCUCCUCCAAAGUUCAGCCAAGGGGAAGCCACACAGGCUGAACUCUGAUCAACUGGGACAAAGAAAAUGGUGCCCAUACCAGCCCUUCUCCUUCUGAGAAUUCUUUUUUUUUUUUUUUUUUGAGGAAGAUUAGCCCUGAGCUAACUACUGCCAGUCCUCCUAUUUUUUACUGAGGAAGCCUGGCCCUAAGCUAACAUUGUGCCCAUCUUCCUCUACUUUAUACGUGGGACGCCUACCACAGCAUGGCGUGCCAAGCGGUGCCAUGUCCACACCCAGGAUCCGAACCGGCGAACCCCAAGCCGCUGAGAAGCGGAACGUAUGAACUUAACCACUGCGCCACUGGGCCAGCCCCCUACUUCUGAGAAUUCUUAAGUACUUGACCCUGAUUCUGUACAUUCCAAAAGUCAUAUUUUUCUUCUAGCAAAAACUGAGAGAUGUGACAAAAUGUAUAGAAGGGAUAAUGUCUAGGUUGUGGCCUUAGAUACUCAACCCAGUUUCUUCUCAUCCUUCUUAACCUUCAAACCUGUCACAGUCGUAUAAUCUAUGACUCAAAACUAUUAUUUAACUAUGAAAAAAGACAAACCAGGAAAUUAGAGGCUGAAUGACCUAAAAUUUAUUCCAUUCAACUGAGCUAAUCCCCUAAUAAGGGUGUAUAUAACAAUCAG